RNAcentral lists this transfer RNA (73 nucleotides) under Myotis lucifugus (little brown bat). It matches the Rfam family "tRNA". From Rfam's summary of the family: Transfer RNA (tRNA) molecules are approximately 80 nucleotides in length. Their secondary structure includes four short double-helical elements and three loops (D, anti-codon, and T loops). The record is from Rfam by way of RNAcentral. Lineage: Eukaryota; Metazoa; Chordata; Mammalia; Chiroptera; Vespertilionidae.
GCUGAUUUGGCUCAGUGGAUAGAGCAUCAGCCUGCAGACUGAAGGGUCCUGGGUUCGAUUCCAGGCAAGGGCA